This 303-nucleotide ribosomal RNA is filed under the name uncultured bacterium. Its description in RNAcentral is "partial 16S ribosomal RNA". It matches the Rfam family "Bacterial small subunit ribosomal RNA", at positions 507 to 807 of the family's 1533-position model. The record is from RNAcentral.
AGCAGUAGCCGCGGGAAUACAGAUGGUGCGAGCGUUAAUCGGAUUUACUGGGCGUAAAGCGUGCGUAGGCGGCUUCUUAAGUCGGAUGUGAAAUCCCUGAGCUUAACUUAGGAAUUGCAUUCGAUACUGGGAAGCUAGAGUAUGGGAGAGGAUGGUAGAAUUCCAGGUGUAGCGGUGAAAUGCGUAGAGAUCUGGAGGAAUACCGAUGGCGAAGGCAGCCAUCUGGCCUAAUACUGACGCUGAGGUACGAAAGCAUGGGGAGCAAACAGGAUUAGAUACCCCAGUAGUCCCUGUCUCUUAUAC